This 462-nucleotide long non-coding RNA is filed under the name Citrus x clementina. RNAcentral describes it as "Citrus clementina (C. clementina) long non-coding RNA (CCLE_LNC001047)". Lineage: Eukaryota; Viridiplantae; Streptophyta; Magnoliopsida; Sapindales; Rutaceae. The record is from RNAcentral.
UAUAAUUUUAUUUAGCUAGUCUUACAAGGAAGAAAGAGAUUUAGAGAGAUACAAAGGCAUACGUAUGAAUGGCAAUGAAAGAAGACCAAUCUACAGGGAAGAGGAGAAAUGAUGCAAAUUAAAUGAUGGCUUAUGCAGCCGUUUUCAAGAGAAAUGAUUUAUUGAAUAAACAUAUAACGCAAAAAUAAAUAAAUGCCAAAGAUUGCGAUGCUGACGGCGCUGUUUUGAAUCGACCUUCGGUAGGCGCACGACACAGAACACGAGCCAGAUGAUCGAUCCCACAUAGUUGUAUCUUUUCAAACAUGGCGUCAUCUCGAUGCUAUAUUGUAAAAUUACCAGCCGGACGAUCAUUUAUAGUUUACCGUUAUCCGUCGAUUCCUUUUUUAGCCUGUUCCCACGUCAAACUUUUGUAGAGAGAGAGAGAGAGAGAGAGAGAGAACAUGCUCACCUUAAUAAAGUGAA